Callithrix jacchus (white-tufted-ear marmoset) is the source of this 311-nucleotide unclassified non-coding RNA. It matches the Rfam family "Metazoan signal recognition particle RNA". From Rfam's summary of the family: The signal recognition particle (SRP) is a universally conserved ribonucleoprotein. It is involved in the co-translational targeting of proteins to membranes. NCBI's taxonomy places the organism in Eukaryota, Metazoa, Chordata, Mammalia, Primates, Cebidae. The record is from Ensembl.
GCUGGACACAGUGGCACGUGCCUGUAGUCUCAGCUACUCAGGAGGCUGAGGUGGGAGGAUCAUUUGAGCCCAGGAGUUCUGGGCUGUAGCAUGCUAUGCUGAUGAGGUGUCUGCGCUAAGUUUUGCAUCAAUAUGGUGACCUCUUAAUAGUGUGGGACCACCAGGUUGCCUAAGGAGGGAUGGACCAGCUCAGGUUGGACAUGGAGCAGGUCAAAACUCCCAUGCUGAUCAGUAGUGGGAAAAUGCUAACUUGUAUCUGAAAUCCAUCUCAGUUGCCCCUUGCCUUGUCAGCAAUGAUCAAUGCAUUUUAA